UUCCUCAGCAAAAAAAAAAAAAAGGCAAAACAAAUGAGAAUUUUGUCUGAUGUUUGAUUUGUAUGAAUACAUUAUAAAUUCAUAUUAGAAAACAGCAAUACUGAGGUGUAAAAAUGUUGGAAAUGUGAAGUUAAAACUGAAUCACAAAUUAUGCUGAACUUGAAGUCCAGGUUUUGUGGAUGGUAAAUAGGACAAAGGAGACAUUCAGGAACCUAGACAUGCCCAUGAAUGACUGACUAUCAUGUUGCUUCUUAAAAUGCAUGUGAACUGAUGGUGAAAAUCUAUUGUUUUUCUUAAGUUGUAUCAAUGGUUUCCCAUUUUACUUGUUGACCUUAAACAAAUAGACUGCAGUUAUUUCUCCAGCAAAAAUAGGUUUAUUCAAGAUCAGCAAAGAAUUACCAUUCGGGGUCUGCAACCCAACCGUGUUAAGCCAUGUGCAAGUCCCCAGCAGCAAGGGGAGGAGAGACUCUUUUAUAGAGGGGAAGAAGAAGUUGGGAGGGCUGUUGUAAACAAAGAAUCCAUUGGAAGAGACUGGGGGUUGAAGAGUAGUGGCUUUUCAUUGGCUGAGCUGUGACAGUCUCUCAUUGGCUGAGCUUCUUGCUGAUCAAGAAGAGAAAGUGUUUCUUUUUCCUGUUGGACUCUGCUAUCGACCUAGGGUGUGAUAGCUCCUCUUUUGCCUUCCCAACUCCAUUUUAAUGAAGUUUCUGUUUGUUAAUUUCCGCAUUUCUUCCUUUUGAUUGGGAUCUUUCUCUGAAAGCAUCCCUGAUCAAGAGUCAGGUUUUUCUGGUUUCAGCAACCUUUUGUCCCUCAAUGCCAAGAAGAACAUUUUCUGGCUGUCCUGUUCCAUGUUGGAGGCAAGGUGCACAGAUUAGAAACCUAUUGUGGCCAUAUUUGCAUAAUAAAGAGGAUAGGAGGGAGAACUCUCAGGCAUUUUUCUUUUCUGAAGUCCAUAUGUUAUCAAGAUCAUAGGCAUUGGAGGUCAUGCGAAGCAUUAUGUCAUCAUCAAAGGUUUGACAGACAAACUCCCAACAGGCCUGGUCCAGACAUCUUGACAAAGCUCUCUCAUCAGAUGUUGUCUGCUUCAAUUCCGGGAAAUCUUUGCUUUUAAGUCACCAGAUGAUGUGCGGUUCCCGUCAGGGUUUGGUGCUUUCUAUAGGUGUGUCACAUGAAUUCAAGAGCCUGUUCCCUGCAUUGUGGCAGCACAAGGGUUAGUUAGCAGUAUCUGAUGGGGCCCUUCCAGUGAGGCUGAAGAGAGGCCUUCUGGAGGUGUCUUUUCCAAAAGACAAAAUCUCCAGGUUGCAAAGCAUGACACUUAAGGUCUUCGUUUCUCUGGAGUGCACUGUGAAAAGAUCGCUCUACCAGAACAUGGUUAUUUUUAGUAGAAGCAGUUAGGCCUUUGCAAUACAGGAGUGUGUCUCCUUUUAUCAGCUGUGGGUCAAAAGAGGCAGGAACCAAGUGCAUUGGGCAUCCUGUGACUAUCUCAAAGGGUGAGAGUUUAUGAGUUCCAGAGGGGAUGGAUCUGAGAUCUAGAAGGACCAAUGGCAAUGCUUUUGGCCAAGGUAUUUGGAGGGUCUCUACAAAUUAAUAACCAUUAGAAGUUGGCGUUACCCAAAGGAAUUUCCUGCAGAUUAUUGCAAGGAGUUAGGGGGUAUCUGUCAGCGUAAAGCAGUCCUGAGGGCCUUCAUUGGUAAUGGAGAGGGGAAGAGUAGCAGGGUUAAGGUUAUUACAACAUAAAAGAGUUAUGUGAGGAGCAGUUGACAAAAGGAUUUGAUAGGAGAUGAGGCGACUGACUGAACUAUAUUCAGUAUGAUGAAAACUCACGGGGGCUUCCACAGUGUGAGGUACAAAAAUUGUUAAAGGGACCCCACAUGAUUUUCUCAGUGUCCUUAACCAAAGGGCAGUGGGAGUAAUGGCUCUAAGGCAAGGGGGGAUCCCCAUGCCACAGGGUCUAGUUGCUGGCUAUAAUGCUCUAUGAGGUCCCUGUGUUUUCGGGUGAGUAUCACAAGGGCAUUCCCUUCUUUUUCAUAUACAAAACAGAAAAAAGGAAGUUGAUAAUUGGGAUGUCCAAGGGCAAGUGGAUUCAUCAGACUCUUCUUUAAGGCCUUAAAGGAUUUGUUGUCCAGUUCUUCCCAUAAAACUAGGUUGGGAUUGUUGUUCUUUACUACAGCACAUAGAGGUUUGGCCAUAGGAGAAAUUUGGAAUCCAAUUUCAGCAAUAACCAACUAGCUAGAGAAAACCUAGCAGUUGACUCUUAGUUUUGAGUUUUGGGAAACGUAGGAUGCCAUGCAGCCUGUGUGGAACUAAGUGGAGGCCUUAUUCUAGUAUCAGAUGCCCUAAAUAUCAAACCUAGGUUUGGGCAAACUGCAAUUUCUCCUUGGUGACUUUAUGUGCCUUUAAGGCUAAAAGCUUUAGGAAAUGGAUGCUGUUUUCUGUGAGGACACUUAAAAAGAAGAGCAAAGAAGCAAAUCGUCCACAUAUUACAACAAAGUCCUUAGGGAACUUCCAUCAUCCAGAUCAGCCUUCAGGAUUUGUGAGAAGUAAGACUGAGUUAAACCCUGAGGCGUUACUGUCUGGGUGAAUUGUUUUCCUUCCCAAGUGAAGGCAAAAAGGUAUUGGCUAGCUUCAUCAACUGGAAUGCUAAAGAAUGCACUGCAUACAUCAAUUACCUUCCGGAAAGAAUUUGCUCAGGACAGAUGUUAGUAGUGUGUGAGGAGUAGGAGCAACAGGGUGUGGAGGGAUAACGAUAUUGUUUGUUUCUCGGAGGUCCUGGACAAAGCUUCACCCUCAGCCCUUGGUUUUCUCACAGGUACAAUAGGAGAAUUAUAGGGACUAGUGCGAGGGAUAAUGAGGCCCUGAACCUUGUAAUCCUCUAUGAUGGGCUUUAUACCUUGAAGGGCUUUUUUACUUAUAGGGUAUUGAUUAAUUCUGGGAAGAGGUUUUAAGGGGUCGAUGUGAAUUUUACUGGGAGGUGCACUGUGAAUUUUACCAAUAACAGUUGAAGAUUUUGCCCCUAAGGAGGGUGGUAACUGAUUCAAUGCGGACAAAUGAUCAUUGUUUCCAGAAUCAGCUCUAGUUCUCUCAGAGACAGAGCAAAUAAAAGGUGUCAAAGGGUCAUUUAAUUUACCUGGUCGGCCAUUUUGAUGGCUAUUGUCAAAUUCUAGAAUUACUUCCCCCUUUUGGGAGAAAGAAAUACUGGCAUGAUUCCUUUCCAAGAAGUCUCUGCCUAAUAAAUGAAUAUGGGUGGAGGAGCUAAGGGAAAAAGGGUGUGUGUCUAUCAAAGGGCCUAAACAAAAGGGCCUAGGUAGAGAGACAGGAACCUUUGAGGUUAUAGAGACCCCCACUAUUUGAGUUGUUCUAGUACAAAGCAGGGGCUGGUUUAUGUAGUAGUGAGGUUGAGCACCGAGAGUGUGGGUCCGGUGUCAAUUAGGACAGAAACAGAUUCAUCUCCAAUUUAGAGAAAUGUUUCUCCAAGCCGAUUAAGAAGGAACAUUUGGAAGAGCCCUUGUGGUUUCUCGGAGGCCUGUUACUGAGAAUUUGGAGGACAGUAGAAAGGCUGGUUAGAGGGCUGAAAGCACUUGAAGCACUUAAAUUGGUAACAAUCUCUUUUCCAAUGCCCUGGCCCCUUGCAAUAAUAAUAGAAACUAGGAGAAUUUUGGAUUCGUUUAGGGGCCUUUAUUUGCUGGAAUCGAAGAUUAAGAAUUUUGACAGUCUUUCUUUUAGGUGACUCAUCUAGAAUGUGAGAGAGUUGGUUUGCCAGGUUAACUAAAUCUGGAGUGGAUGUAGUUUCCCCUUCCAUCCUGGUCCUUUUUACUAGAAGAGAAAGGUCCUGGUUCAGUCCAUUGAUAAACAUAGAGUUAAAAGCUACCCAGGUGGAAACAACAUGUGAAGGAGGACCAGAAUUUUCUUUAAAAACAAUCUGAAAUCGAUUAUAACAGUCAUGAACAGGUUCAUCAGGUUUUUGUGCACAAGUCUGAACUUUGUUUCAAUCAACAGGCUUUGGGAAAGCCCUAGGAAUUGCCUGAUGAAGUCACCUAGCGAUUGCCGGAGCCUGAUCAUGCAACAGGGGAAGACAUGCUCGUAAAGUGCCCAAGUUCUCCUACCAGAGGAAGUCCCGUCCUGCUGCAGCACUUCCUAGAACUGAGUGUGUAAGUCUGUCUAACUGUGGAAUUCAGUGUUGUGAAGCCUACUGACCCACAAAGAUAAACUGCAUUCUCCAAUACCAGCUUAACCAGUAAAAUAUUACUGUAUUUAGACUC
Non-coding RNA from Equus caballus (horse), 4256 nucleotides. The record is from RefSeq and is a predicted model, not a curated record. NCBI's taxonomy places the organism in Eukaryota, Metazoa, Chordata, Mammalia, Perissodactyla, Equidae.